Cyprinus carpio carpio is the source of this 1740-nucleotide long non-coding RNA. NCBI's taxonomy places the organism in Eukaryota, Metazoa, Chordata, Actinopteri, Cypriniformes, Cyprinidae. The record is from Ensembl.
GUAACUCAUGCACCAACCCCCUGAACCAAUUUUGCUAAACUACAAGCACAAUUCCUGCUUUACACUCACAUUGCAGUUCUAAAACACUUUUUUUUUUUUCAAAACACUACACACAAUUCUCUGCAUUUGGCACAAUUUUUGGGCAGAAAAAUCUCUUGUUUUCACAAGGAACACACUGCCAUUCAAAUAUGCACACUGACUCAUCACAUGGGCAAACACCUGUCACACAUUUUUACAAUUAGCAAACAGAGCUUUAGCAUAAAAGGGCAACAGGUGAGCUCUUCUGUUUUGGAGCAAUGGAUGCCAACAAUGGAAACAGAGGCAGAGCCAGAGGAGUGAGUGUAAGAGGAGGACGAGGAAGGCCAAGGACUGUAGACUCUAAUGAGAUCCGAGCCACUUUGGUUGACCAUGUGGUCAACCAUGGUCUAACAAUGAGGGAGGCUGGGCAAAGGGUACAGCCAAAUUUGAGCAGGUUCACUGUAGCAUCCUUCAUCCGGACUUUCCGAAAUGAGAAUAGAACUGAAAGAUUACCUACACAAGGUGGUCAGGAACGAGUUCUGUCUCCUGAACAGGAAACUGCAGUCAUGAACAUGGUCUUAGAAAAUAACACCAUAACAUUACAAUAUGCUGGCAUGGAGAACAGACACACGAGGAGGAUAUAAAUCAAAAGAGGAGUCUAAUGAACAUCAUCAGAGAGAGUCCUUGAGCUAGAGGUGGCUGCAGUGGAGCACUAAUUCAUCUUCAUUGAUGAGGUUGGAUUAAACCUCACAACAAGACGAAAGAGGGGAAGGAAUAUCAUCGGCCAUUGUGCCAUUGUUGAAGUCCCUGGCCAGCGCGGAGGGAACAUCACAAUGUGUGCAGUGAUUACCCACCAUGGCGUCAUCCAUCACCAUGCUACCCUUGGCCCCUACAACACUGCCCAUCUGAUCACAUUCCUGGACACUCUACACAACCCACUCAUUCCCCCAGAUCAGAUAGACGGCCCAGAGCAGCUCAGGCCCGGUGCACCCAGGAUGCAAUCUUCCCAGAUGUCCUUCACUCCAGUGCCGGGACAACACGGACCCUGGGUACACCCGCAGCGGAGGACAUGAACCAGUUACAAUAUCCGCGAGACGGAACGCGAUGCUGUGAUCGUCGGAGACUCCAUCGUCCAACACGUCCGUGCUACGUUAGCCAAAGGUAAAUUGCACACUCACUGUUUCCCUGGUGCUCGUGUUCUCGAUGUUUCUGUGCAGAUACCCGUGAUCCUGAAGGCCGACGAGAGCCCCAAAGCGGUCGUGCUUCACGCCACGGUUAACGACACCAUGCAGCGGCAGACGGAGACACUGAAGAGGGACUUCAGAAGCCUGAUCGAGACGGUGCGCAGCACAACGCUCGCGGCGACGAUCAUUGUGUCAGGACCACUGCCCACGUAUCGACGAGGACACGAAAGGAGCGUCCUAGGCUUUUUCGCUCUGAUGGCCUGCACCCCAGCAGAGCGGAACUCCUCUCCAACAACAUCUCCAAGACUCUACACUCCAUUUGACUAGAUUUACACAAGCUCCAGUCUGGAUCCAGAACACCUGAGAAGAGGUGAUGCCAACCCCGAUGAUGCUAACCCAGAGACAGCAUACAGAACUACCACAUUUUGCUAUAAGUUUGAUUGCAUAAUUGCUGGUAAUAGUGUUAAUCGUCUGUUUGUUUGACUUUUAUUGAUUUUUUCCGAACAUUUCUGCCGUAUGCACUUAAACUGACAGUCAC